This 465-nucleotide ribosomal RNA is filed under the name Vreelandella stevensii. Its description in RNAcentral is "partial 16S ribosomal RNA". It matches the Rfam family "Bacterial small subunit ribosomal RNA", at positions 338 to 795 of the family's 1533-position model. Lineage: Bacteria; Pseudomonadati; Pseudomonadota; Gammaproteobacteria; Oceanospirillales; Halomonadaceae. The record is from RNAcentral.
CCUACGGGGCGCAGCAGUGGGGAAUAUUGGACAAUGGGCGAAAGCCUGAUCCAGCCAUGCCGCGUGUGUGAAGAAGGCCUUCGGGUUGUAAAGCACUUUCAGUGGGGAAGAAAGCCUUGGGGCUAAUACCCUCGAGGAAGGACAUCACCCACAGAAGAAGCACCGGCUAACUCCGUGCCAACAGCCGCGGUAAUACGGAGGGUGCGAGCGUUAAUCGGAAUUACUGGGCGUAAAGCGCGCGUAGGCGGUCUGAUAAGCCGGUUGUGAAAGCCCCGGGCUCAACCUGGGAACGGCAUCCGGAACUGUCAGGCUAGAGUGCAGGAGAGGAAGGUAGAAUUCCCGGUGUAGCGGUGAAAUGCGUAGAGAUCGGGAGGAAUACCAGUGGCGAAGGCGGCCUUCUGGACUGACACUGACGCUGAGGUGCGAAAGCGUGGGUAGCAAACAGGAUUAGAUACCCUAGUAGUC